CACAAAAGAAAGUGACUACAGAACUUUGCCAAGACAAGAGGGUACUAAAACUAUAUAAAGCCUUAUGGAUCCUAUGUGAAGCAAGGCCAUCUGUUGUGGAACAAUCAUUUUGUACACUGUAAAGGCUCGGGGAGCAUUGCAGGAGAGGGAGGAAGAAACAGCACAAGAGCUAGAAUUGCAAUCCUGGACCGCCAGCAGCUGCAGGUGCCGGUGCUGAGUCUGCACAAGAACGGGCCUAUCCACCCUCAGGGAAAAUAUUUACUGUCUUGGGAGUCAGAGAGGCCGGAGCUGAGCUCACAGAGUUCUCCUGCCACUUCAUAGUGCCGCCUUCUCUGAGAGCCUGCCCUCGGGAUCAUGUCCAGCACUGCGACAGCUCUGUGGAAAGACAGCUGUAAACCCACGGUACAGCUGAGGAGCUUGAUCAGCUGUGACUGAGGUCUAUAAAUGAACACACUGAACACCAUCCUGGGUAAUUCUACAUGUUAAUCCCUCUGUGAGUUAUUUUCAUGUGGGCAUUGUGUACUCAAAACCAGAGUUAGUCUCAUGGUUGGAAAAUAGAAUUUAGAAUACAAUAGAAUUUAUUCCACUCCCCCCCCCUGUGUGUGUGUGUGUGUGUGUGUACAGGAAUGCAUGCAUGUGCAGAGGCCACAGGAAGACAUCAGGUGUCCUGUUCUGUCGCUUUCUGCUUAAUUCCCUUAAGAAAGGGUCUCUCCAGGGACUCUUGGCUCAGUCUGGGAGGAGGGGACUGGACCUACCUGGACUGAGUCUACCAGGUUGAUCGCAGU
This is a non-coding RNA of Peromyscus maniculatus bairdii (prairie deer mouse), 785 nucleotides long. Lineage: Eukaryota; Metazoa; Chordata; Mammalia; Rodentia; Cricetidae. The record is from RefSeq and is a predicted model, not a curated record.